AUGUCUGGGAAACUGCCUGAUGAGGGGGAUAACUACUGGAAACGGUAGCUAAUACCGCAUAACGUCGCAAGACCAGAGAGGGGGACCUUCGGGCCUCUUGCCAUCGGAUGUGCCCAGAUGGGAUUAGCUAGUAGGUGGGGUAACGGCUCACCUAGGCGACGAUCCCUAGCUGGUCUGAGAGGAUGACCAGCCACACUGGAACUGAGACACGGUCCAGACUCCUACGGGAGGCAGCAUG
RNAcentral lists this ribosomal RNA (238 nucleotides) under uncultured bacterium. Its description in RNAcentral is "partial 16S ribosomal RNA". It matches the Rfam family "Bacterial small subunit ribosomal RNA", at positions 113 to 353 of the family's 1533-position model. The record is from RNAcentral.